RNAcentral lists this ribosomal RNA (343 nucleotides) under uncultured Bacillota bacterium. RNAcentral describes it as "bacterial SSU rRNA". It matches the Rfam family "Bacterial small subunit ribosomal RNA", at positions 1034 to 1378 of the family's 1533-position model. Lineage: Bacteria; Bacillati; Bacillota. The record is from RNAcentral.
ACAGGUGGUGCAUGGCUGUCGUCAGCUCGUGUCGUGAGAUGUUGGGUUAAGUCCCGCAACGAGCGCAACCCUUGUCCUAUGUUGCCAGCGGGUAAUGGGGACUCGUAGGAGACUGCCGUGGUCAACACGGAGGAAGGUGGGGACGACGUCAAGUCAUCAUGCCCCUUAUAUCCAGGGCUGCAAACAUGCUACAAUGGCCGGUACAGAGGGCUGCGAGACCGCGAGGUUGAGCGAAUCCCAAAAAGCCGGUCUCAGUUCGGAUUGGAGUCUGCAACUCGACUCCAUGAAGGCGGAGUCGCUAGUAAUCCCGGAUCAGCAACGCCGGGGUGAAUACGUUCCCGGG